This 238-nucleotide unclassified non-coding RNA is filed under the name plant metagenome. Its description in RNAcentral is "partial contains small subunit ribosomal RNA, internal transcribed spacer 1, and 5.8S ribosomal RNA". The record is from RNAcentral.
UUUCCGUAGGUGAACCUGCGGAAGGAUCAUUACUGAAGUGAGUCUUCAUCAUUGAAGCUUCUUCCCAUUGUGCUGGCUUUGACCGUAUGUAAUGUUGGGGGUUAAACAUGGUUGAAAUUUUUUUUAGCCGUCCCCAACAAUUUAUCUUAUCCUUUAUUAAAUUGAACUGAACUCAUUUUGAGAUUACAUAAAAAAUAAUCUUUUAAUACAACUUUCAACAACGGAUCUCUUGGUUCUC